AAACGAGACCUUGACCUGCUAAAUAGCCCAACUCACUUUUGUGGGUUGAAACAGGUUUGUGAUGCCCUUAGAUGUUUUGGGCCGCACGCGCGCUACACUGACAGGGCCAGCGAGUACAUCUCCUUGGCCGAAAGGUCUGGGUAAUCUUGUUAAACCCUGUCGUGCUGGGGAUAGAGCAUUGCAAUUAUUGCUCUUCAACGAGGAAUGCCUAGUAAGCGCGAAGUCAUC
This 228-nucleotide ribosomal RNA is filed under the name uncultured fungus. RNAcentral's name for it is "partial 18S ribosomal RNA". It matches the Rfam family "Eukaryotic small subunit ribosomal RNA", at positions 1333 to 1632 of the family's 1831-position model. The record is from RNAcentral. Lineage: Eukaryota; Fungi.